AGGCCGGCGGCCAGAGCCGAGCGGCCGGCAGGGUCCACUCCACCGCUGCCGGACAAACACACAGCAGGGACUCAGCAACGUGUGGACCCCGAGGAGUCGGCCUGGUCAGCAGGGCUCAGUCAGCCAUUAAGCUUCAACACCUGAAGACAGCAACUGUUAGUCACAUCCAAAAAGAACGCAUGAGGAGUUUCUGUCCUGCAUGGUGUGGAAGGGCCUUGGUUGCAUAACCUGAGAACUUCUUCACUGAAUAACCACUGAACCGUCUGAGCGGAGGAUGCUGCACAGUGAUGGUCGUUACCGAGGCUGAAGGCGCAGAUGUUGAUGCAGCAGCAGCAAACGGCCGUCAGGCAGCGAAUGGCGAGGAAGAGGAGCGGCUGAGGAAACACGGCGGGCACCAGGCCGCAGAAGGCCUGGACGCAGGCGCAAGCUAGCAGCACCGGCCGCUUCCCGUACCU
Long non-coding RNA from Poeciliopsis prolifica (blackstripe livebearer), 455 nucleotides. RefSeq lists it as uncharacterized. The transcript is spliced from 3 exons. The record is from RefSeq and is a predicted model, not a curated record. Lineage: Eukaryota; Metazoa; Chordata; Actinopteri; Cyprinodontiformes; Poeciliidae.